GAGGCAAAAUGGCAGACUUUAACUGUUGACAUGACCUCCUUGGAACAUUCAGACUGGUAAGAGAAAAGAAUUAAACAUCAAAUCUUCCCUCAGGGACUCCAGAUAAGAGCCCAGGCCAAAGGACACCUUGAUUUUGACCUUGUCAGACCUGGAGUUGAAAAACCAGCUGCACCCUUCUAGAAUUCUUACUUACAAAACUGGAGAUGUUACAAGACAAGAUGAUUUCACUGGAAGCUGAGUUUUGCCAGCUUUGGGGAAAUGCUGAUGCAGAACAUCAUUUAUUUAAGGCUGAUACUCAUGGAUAGAAGAGUCAAAGUGCGAAUAUAUGCACCCUUCUAUACGGAUUCUGCAGAAAGAUAUGCUUGGGUCAUGACUCAGGUGAAUUUCCUAUGAAACUUUGUCUUUGGUAAAGCAUCCCAUUCUUGGCUGUUCCAUAUAUAUAUAUAUGGUAAGUUUGGGAGUGGCCUUGCUAGUAAAGAAUAAAUUAUUUACUUGGUUCUAGCUAUUUACAAAGUUGCUGGUGACUAAUUGCUGGAAAGAAGCUGGGACGUUCUGUGGCCCCUCCAUUUUAUAUCCCCUCCCUUUGGUUCUCUAGGAAAUUGAGUUCAGGAAAGCUACCAGGAAUAAAACUCUUACUUUUUAUGCAUGUGUAUUUUUUUUCCAGACAAUUUGGAGAGAAUUCCCUGAAACAUUCACUGUACAACUCUACUUUCUUGAAUACUUACUAUAAUUAAAGUUCAUUUCUGAUUUACAUAAA
This is a long non-coding RNA of Homo sapiens (human), 757 nucleotides long. Ensembl annotates it as long intergenic non-protein coding RNA 2263. The record is from Ensembl. Lineage: Eukaryota; Metazoa; Chordata; Mammalia; Primates; Hominidae.